GAUCAUUAGUGAAUAUAGGACGUCCAACUUAACUUGGAGUCCGAACUCUCACUUUCUAACCCUGUGCACUUGUUUGGGAUAGUAACUCUCGCAAGAGAGCGAACUCCUAUUCACUUAUAAACACAAAGUCUAUGAAUGUAUUAAAUUUUAUAACAAAAUAAAACUUUCAACAACGGAUCUCUUGGCUCUCGCAUCGAUGAAGAACGCAGCGAAAUGCGAUAAGUAAUGUGAAUUGCAGAAUUCAGUGAAUCAUCGAAUCUUUGAACGCACCUUGCGCUCCAUGGUAUUCCGUGGAGCAUGCCUGUUUGAGUGUCAUGAAUACUUCAACCCUCCUCUUUCUUAAUGAUUGAAGAGGUGUUUGGUUUCUGAGCGCUGCUGGCCUUUACGGUCUAGCUCGUUCGUAAUGCAUUAGCAUCCGCAAUCGAACUUCGGAUUGACUUGGCGUAAUAGACUAUUCGCUGAGGAAUUCUAGUCUUCGGACUAGAGCCGGGUUGGGUUAAAGGAAGCUUCUAAUCAGAAUGUCUACAUUUUAAGAUUAGAUCUCAAAUCAGGUAGGACUACCCGCUGAACUA
Molecule: unclassified non-coding RNA, 572 nt
Filed under: Rhodotorula mucilaginosa
Lineage: Eukaryota; Fungi; Basidiomycota; Microbotryomycetes; Sporidiobolales; Sporidiobolaceae
Description: sequence contains 18S rRNA gene, ITS1, 5.8S rRNA gene, ITS2, 28S rRNA gene
Rfam family: 5.8S ribosomal RNA (bases 162-315)
Source: RNAcentral